AGCAGCCGCGGUAAUUCCAGCUCCAAUAGCGUAUAUUAAAGCUGUUGCAGUUAAAAAGCUCGUAGUUGAACUUCGGGGUUUACCCAUUGGUCAGGCUUAAUUGUCUGUACUGGUGAGAUGAAUCUCUACCUUCUGAGGAACUUUCAUGCCAUUUAUUUGGUGUGAUGGGAAAUCAGGACUGUUACUUUGAAAAAAUUAGAGUGUUUAAAGCAGGCUAACGUCUGAAUACAUUAGCAUGGAAUAAUGAAAUAGGACGGACUGAUUCUAUUUCGUUGGUUUCUAGGAUCACCGUAAUGAUUAAUAGGGAUAGUUGGGGGCAUUAGUAUUCAAUUGUCAGAGGUGAAAUUCUUGGAUUUAUUGAAGACUAACUACUGCGAAAGCAUUUGCCAAGGAUGUUUUCAUUAAUCAAGAACGAAAGUUAGGGGAUCGAAGACGAUCAGAUACCGUCGUAGUCUUAACCAUAAACUAUGCCGACUAGGGAUCGGACGAAGUUAAUUUUAUAAUGACGCGUUCGGCACCU
Molecule: unclassified non-coding RNA, 520 nt
Filed under: uncultured Glomus
Lineage: Eukaryota; Fungi; Glomeromycota; Glomeromycetes; Glomerales; Glomeraceae
Also listed under: 1 other name
Description: SSU rRNA
Rfam family: Eukaryotic small subunit ribosomal RNA
Source: RNAcentral